GGAUGUGAGGGCGAUCUGGCUGCGACAUCUGUCACCCCAUUGAUCGCCAGGGUUGAUUCAGCUGAUCUGGCUGGCUAGGCGGGUGUCCCCUUCCUCCCUCACCGCUCCAUGUGCAUCCCUCCCGAAGCUGCGCGCUUGGUCGAAGAGGACGACCUUCCCUGAAUAGAGGAGGACUGGUCUUCGGUCAAGGGUAUACGAGUAGCUGUGCUCCCCCGCUAGAACCUCCAAACAAGCUCUCUCUCUCUCUCUCAUAAAAGUAGGUGAUUUAUUGUAGUAAAAUUUUCUAACCAUGAUUUUUGUAUUUUAUUAAUUUAUCAAA
This 319-nucleotide small nuclear RNA is filed under the name Rattus norvegicus (Norway rat). RNAcentral's name for it is "7SK RNA". It matches the Rfam family "7SK RNA". Rfam says of the family: 7SK was discovered as an abundant small nuclear RNA in the mid-70s but a possible function has only recently been suggested. Two independent studies have found that 7SK RNA binds the CDK9/cyclin T complex (known as elongation factor P-TEFb). Lineage: Eukaryota; Metazoa; Chordata; Mammalia; Rodentia; Muridae. The record is from Rfam by way of RNAcentral.